GACGAACGCUGGCGGCGCGCCUAACACAUGCAAGUCGAACGGAGCUGCGAGAAGCUUGCUUUUCUUAGCUUAGUGGCGAACGGGUGAGUAACGCGUGUGUAACCUGCCCUGGAGUGGGGGACAACAGUUGGAAACGACUGCUAAUACCGCAUAAGCCCACGAUCCGGCAUCGGAUUGAGGGAAAAGGAUUUAUUCGCUUCAGGAUGGACUCGCGUCCAAUUAGCUAGUUGGUGAGGUAACGGCCAACCAAGGCGACGAUUGGUAGCCGGACUGAGAGGUUGAACGGCCACAUUGGGACUGAGACACGGCCCAGACUCCUACGGAAGGGAGCAGUGGGGGAUAUUGCACAAGGGGGGAAACCCUGAUGCAGCGGCGCCGCGUGGAGGGAGAAGGUGUUCGGAUUGUAAACUCCUGUCGUUAGGGACGAUAAUGACGGUACCUAACAAGAAAGCACCGGCUAACUACGUG
Molecule: ribosomal RNA, 468 nt
Filed under: uncultured bacterium
Lineage: Bacteria
Description: partial 16S ribosomal RNA
Rfam family: Bacterial small subunit ribosomal RNA
Source: RNAcentral